RNAcentral lists this ribosomal RNA (253 nucleotides) under uncultured bacterium. RNAcentral describes it as "partial 16S ribosomal RNA". It matches the Rfam family "Bacterial small subunit ribosomal RNA", at positions 524 to 776 of the family's 1533-position model. The record is from RNAcentral.
UACGUAGGUGGCAAGCGAUACUCGGAAUCACUAGGCGUAAAGCGCAGGUAGGCGGUUUGGUAAGUCUUUUGUGAAAGCUCCCGGCUUAACUGGGAGAGGCCAAGGGAAACUACCGGACUAGAGUGUGGCAGAGGAAGCUGGAAUUCCCGGUGUAGCGGUGAAAUGCGUAGAUAUCGGGAAGAACACCCGUGGCGAAGGCGGCUCUCUGGGACGGUACUGACGCUGAGACGCGAAAGCGUGGGGAGCGAACAGG